GGAGGACCAUUAGUUCAGUGGUAGGACACAUGCUUUGCAUCCAGAAGGUCCCAGGUUCAAUCCUUGGCACCUCCA
Molecule: non-coding RNA, 75 nt
Organism: Podarcis lilfordi (Lilford's wall lizard)
Lineage: Eukaryota; Metazoa; Chordata; Lepidosauria; Squamata; Lacertidae
Source: the annotation of a GenBank genome assembly